AGUGAACGCUGGCGGUAGGCCUAACACAUGCAAGUCGAACGGCAGCACAGUAAGAGCUUGCUCUUACGGGUGGCGAGUGGCGGACGGGUGAGGAAUACAUCGGAAUCUACUUUUUCGUGGGGGAUAACGUAGGGAAACUUACGCUAAUACCGCAUACGACCUACGGGUGAAAGCAGGGGAUCUUCGGACCUUGCGCGAUUGAAUGAGCCGAUGUCGGAUUAGCUAGUUGGCGGGGUAAAGGCCCACCAAGGCGACGAUCCGUAGCUGGUCUGAGAGGAUGAUCAGCCACACUGGAACUGAGACACGGUCCAGACUCCUACGGGAGGCAGCAGUGGGGAAUAUUGGACAAUGGGCGCAAGCCUGAUCCAGCCAUACCGCGUGAGUGAAGAAGGCCUUCGGGUUGUAAAGCACUUUUGUUGGGAAAGAAAAGCAGCAGGUUAAUACCCCGCUGUUCUGACGGUACCCAAAGAAUAAGCACCGGCUAACUUCGUG
This 492-nucleotide ribosomal RNA is filed under the name uncultured bacterium. RNAcentral describes it as "partial 16S ribosomal RNA". It matches the Rfam family "Bacterial small subunit ribosomal RNA", at positions 29 to 507 of the family's 1533-position model. The record is from RNAcentral.